UACGUAGGGGGCAAGCGUUGUCCGGAAUCAUUGGGCGUAAAGCGCGCGUAGGCGGCCAGACAAGUCCGGUGUGAAAGUCACAGGCUCAACCUGUGAAUGCCGCUGGAAACUGUCUGGCUAGAGUCCGGAAGGGGCGAGUGGAACUCCUGGUGUAGCGGUGGAAUGCGCAGAUAUCAGGAAGAACACCAACGGCGAAGGCAGCUCGCUGGGACGGUACUGACGCUGAGACGCGAAAGCGUGGGGAGCGAACAGG
RNAcentral lists this ribosomal RNA (253 nucleotides) under uncultured bacterium. RNAcentral's name for it is "partial 16S ribosomal RNA". It matches the Rfam family "Bacterial small subunit ribosomal RNA", at positions 524 to 776 of the family's 1533-position model. The record is from RNAcentral.